RNAcentral lists this ribosomal RNA (65 nucleotides) under Neonectria lugdunensis. RNAcentral describes it as "partial 18S ribosomal RNA". It matches the Rfam family "Eukaryotic small subunit ribosomal RNA", at positions 1769 to 1831 of the family's 1831-position model. Lineage: Eukaryota; Fungi; Ascomycota; Sordariomycetes; Hypocreales; Nectriaceae. The record is from RNAcentral.
UCAUUUAGAGGAAGUAAAAGUCGUAACAAGGUCUCCGUUGGUGAACCAGCGGAGGGAUCAUUACC